Molecule: ribosomal RNA, 200 nt
Filed under: uncultured bacterium
Lineage: Bacteria
Description: partial 16S ribosomal RNA
Rfam family: Bacterial small subunit ribosomal RNA
Source: RNAcentral
AGAGUUUGAUCCUGGCUCAGAAUGAACGCUGGCGGCGUGCCUAACACAUGCAAGUCGGAUGUGCAGCAAUGCGCAUGGCAGACGGGUGAGUAACGCGUGGGGAACCUACCUCUUUGUGGGGAAUAACGCUCCGAAAGGAGUGGUAAUACCGCAUGAGACCAUGAUCUGGGACGGUCAUGGUGAAACCUGGGGACCGAAAG